Long non-coding RNA from Astatotilapia calliptera (eastern happy), 1615 nucleotides. Lineage: Eukaryota; Metazoa; Chordata; Actinopteri; Cichliformes; Cichlidae. The record is from Ensembl.
GACCAGUAGUGCAAGUAUAUUGUGAGGUGCAUAUGUAGAUGCCAAGUCCUUACACCUUUGAGGAGUCCUCACAUUCUAGAUUAGGCUUCUGAAGUCUUUACGAGCAAGUUCAGGAGAUUGGAUCAUUUCACUAAAACUUGUCUCUUUGAAAUGGCAAUUGAAACAAGUCUGGAAUCUUGCACCAAAGAUGCUGCAUAACACAAAACACAUUGGACCAGAAUAUAAAGCUUCCUUUUUCUAAUAGUUCAAACUCAACAAGCUACCGUGCAAACAGCGGUAAGUCAAAUCCCUGUCAGUAACUUUCCUUGUGGGCCUCACCUUUUACUUUGAUGGAUUGUAGCAGCUGAGUUAUGAUCUGUCAAAGGCAAGAAAUUUUGAUUUUUCCUGAGCUGCAUCAGUUCAUGCCCUACUGUCACUCUCCCAGUGAAAUAUUGAUGGGAAUUAUCUCACAUGCUGGUGGCCUCACUGAGAAGGUGGGUGUCUGUGUAAUACCACUUACUCUAAUCAAUAUUAUAGUGGUCAUCUGCAAAGGAAAGAGGUGGAUCCCUUUUUUACUCAUGCUGUGGUACAUGUGUGAGAAUCACAUGUGAUUCUCACAUGUCAGUUAAGAUGUGGGUGGUGUUGUGCUGCUUUGUAUUUUCCGUCCUGUUUUCUCUUUAUUACGUUUUUUUUUCUUUUUUCUGUGAGUGGCAAUGCUCUUUAAUUUUGUACCUGUUGUUGCUCUGAGAAUAUCUAGCUCUUUUAUUUAUUUAUUUUUUUAACCUUGGUGUUUGGAACCCAGUUGAAGCAGUGCAUUCAUAUUUUAUUCUGCUUUUUUUUUUAUCUUUAUUUAACACAUUUGGAUUAAAGACUUAGUUAUUUGGUUAAUUUAUGGAUUUUUUUAAGUUCAUUUUGAAAAGUUUUCAAUUUCUUGGUUUACAUGGCUUUAUGGGAAUCCUAUUGGAGGGAGAAGAUUUGACUUGCUCUCUAUUAGAAUGCAAUGUCAGCUAAAGCAGAAGCUAAAACCUUUUGUCUUUACAAUUUAAAGUAGAAGUAACCAAGGCGACAGGCAACAAGCUUCAUAAAGCUGAACUACUUUCCUUGGUGAAUGAAUAAUCACGUGAGAUUUUAUCUAAGCUAAUGUAGCUAACUAUAGUGUUGGCAUGUCAGCCAGUAUGACAUGUUGCUGAAGUAAGUGCCUUUUUACCAGGUGCAACUUGGUGGUGUAGAUGUAUCUUUAUUACUUUUUUGUAGAGGGGAGCAUAUUUUGUUCUUUACACAGGAAACUUGGGUCACAAGUGUGAGCUGUAGCUCUGCUUGGUUGUGUGUGUAAUUGGGUAUUGCUGUACCACUGCAUUGUUUGUGCUUUGUAGAGGUGUUUAGUGUUUUUGGUUGUGUAUGAGAGGUUAUGUGCACUCAUAUCAUAUCAUAUCAUAAUUCAUGAUUUAAAAACUGCUAAAAGAAAUUUUGACUUAAUAUUUAAAAUAUUUCAUAACUAAGGCAGAAAGGAUUUAAAACUUUGUUUAAAACAUUGCCUUUUCACUGUCUGAUGAAAAGGUAAGCUACCUUUGUAGUGUUUAAAAAAGAAAGGUCAUACAUGAAGUUGUUAUUACAUUAUGUUAAGUGAAAUAUGGCC